RNAcentral lists this long non-coding RNA (1358 nucleotides) under Setaria italica (foxtail millet). Its description in RNAcentral is "long non-coding RNA (SITA_LNC002537)". Lineage: Eukaryota; Viridiplantae; Streptophyta; Magnoliopsida; Poales; Poaceae. The record is from RNAcentral.
GCUUUCUGAAUGAAACUGAUACCAAAUUGAUACAAAUGUUUUGGCUUUGAUGAACUAGCUGGCAUCCAGCUUAACAAACAGAUACAAAUUGAAUGAAACAAAAACAAUUUAUAUUAGACAAAAGGUUGCUAAUAAAAACCUUCAGAGCUCAAAUGAGCCACUGAACCCAAGGAUGCCGGUGAACAUCAUCAUCAAAGGCUAACAUGCUAACAUUUUUCACAAAGUCGCAGAAGAUCUUUUCUUCACCAAUCAUGACAUACCAAGCACACGGAUUGAGUCAUCAUCAAGUCAUCAAGGCAAUGGAUCGAUGAAACCAUGGUCGAGCUGAGGAUCAAUUGCAACUCGAAAGAGUGGAACAUCUUCAGGUCCAAAAUCCUCUCCAGAGCACAGAUAGAAAUAGUAUUAAAGAAAAAGCAGAGCUUUGCUAAAGAAAAUAUGAAACUAUAAGUAAUCAGACUAGCCAAUAUUUCAUAUGACAAAAAAUAUAAAGCAUUUGGACACAGUUACUUGGACAUAUUGUCCCUGGUCAUCAGAACAUCAGCUCUAAAAAAAGCCUUUCCACGAAGGUGACAAAGCUACAUUUCAAACAGAGGUAAUAAUUAUAAGAAAAAUUAAGCUACAGCAGAUCCAAAAAAGGACAUAUUGGAUAACAUAUAUAUAGAUGCAGACAAGAGAAAUAAAAUUAACAUGCAAAAGGCAAAAUUAACAGCUCAACAAAUUUUUUCUAUAGUUAGUCAGAUAAUAAAAUUAUUUCUAGCUGUGAGAAACCCCUGAAAUGCAAAAAUACUCUUCAGAUUUCAAAAUUAAAAAUUCCAACUCAUUUACAUGACAUAUUUAACAAUUGACAGGCACUAAAGCACUGUAAAUUAAUGAAAUUUAAAUUGUAAAUGUUAUAGCACACUAAAUUAGACUCAGUAUUAUGUUUGUUGAUAUCUAUCUGAUGCAAAUAAACAAAUGAACAGAUUGGAUAACAGAUAUAUUGAUGCAGAUAAUAGACACAAAUGAACAUGCAAAUGGCAAAUUUAACAGCUUAAUGAAUUUUUUCUAUAGUCAGUAAGAUAACGAAUUUAUUUCACAAAGUGAGUAACCUCUCAUAUGCAAACACAACUAUCAGAUUUCUAAAAAUGGAAAAAUUCAAUCUCAUUUGCAUGAUAUAAUAAUACAAAUUAUAGUAACUGAACAACUGUCAAUAAAAAUAGCUUAAACUGUAAAAUGUUUAAGCAAGCAUAGUUAGGCCCAGUACAUAUGAAACUGAUAUGUAACUGAUUAAGAUAAAGGAAACAUACAAAAUUAAAGUCAGCUUUUGAGUUUCUAUAAGCAGUGAACUAACAAAUAUAUUCAUGUAUAGUUAGUAAUCC